This 253-nucleotide ribosomal RNA is filed under the name uncultured bacterium. Its description in RNAcentral is "partial 16S ribosomal RNA". It matches the Rfam family "Bacterial small subunit ribosomal RNA", at positions 524 to 776 of the family's 1533-position model. The record is from RNAcentral.
UACGUAGGGGGCAAGCGUUGUCCGGAAUCAUUGGGCGUAAAGAGCGUGUAGGCGGCCAGAUAAGUCCGCUGUGAAAUCUCGAGGCUCAACUUCGAGCUGUCGGUGGAAACUGUCUGGCUAGAGUCCGGAAGAGGAGAAUGGAAUUCCUGGUGUAGCGGUGAAAUGCGCAGAUAUCAGGAAGAACACCUAUUGCGAAGGCAGCUCGCUGGGACGUUACUGACGCUGAGACGCGAAAGCGUGGGGAGCAAACAGG